GCACAUUGCGCCCCCUGGCAUUCCGGGGGGCAUGCCUGUCCGAGCGUCAUUUCUGCCCUCAAGCACGGCUUGUGUGUUGGGUGUGGUCCCCCCGGGGACCUGCCCGAAAGGCAGCGGCGACGUCCGUCUGGUCCUCGAGCGUAUGGGGCUCUGUCACUCGCUCGGGAAGGACCUGCGGGGGUUGGUCACCACCACAUUUUCCAUUAUGGUUGACCUCGGAUCAGGUAGGAGUUACCCGCUGAACUUAAGCAUAUCAAUAAGCGGAGGAAAAGAAACCAACCGGGAUUGCCUCAGUAACGGCGAGUGAAGCGGCAAGAGCUCAAAUUUGAAAUCUGGCCCUUUCAGGGUCCGAGUUGUAAUUUGCAGAGGAUGCUUCGGGUGCGGUCCCCAUCUAAGUGCCCUGGAACGGGCCGUCAUAGAGGGUGAGAAUCCCGUCUGGGAUGGGCGGCCGUGCCCGUGUGAAGCUCCUUCGACGAGUCGAGUUGUUUGGGAAUGCAGCUCUAAGUGGGUGGUAAAUUUCAUCUAAAGCUAAAUACUGGCCGGAGACCGAUAGCGCACAAGUAGAGUGAUC
RNAcentral lists this ribosomal RNA (571 nucleotides) under Talaromyces funiculosus. Its description in RNAcentral is "eukaryotic LSU rRNA". The stretch from base 211 to 571 matches the Rfam family "Eukaryotic large subunit ribosomal RNA", at positions 1 to 358 of the family's 3401-position model. Lineage: Eukaryota; Fungi; Ascomycota; Eurotiomycetes; Eurotiales; Trichocomaceae. The record is from RNAcentral.